This 504-nucleotide ribosomal RNA is filed under the name uncultured bacterium. RNAcentral describes it as "bacterial SSU rRNA". It matches the Rfam family "Bacterial small subunit ribosomal RNA", at positions 9 to 526 of the family's 1533-position model. The record is from RNAcentral.
GAGUUUGAUCCUGGCUCAGGACGAACGCUGGCGGCGCGCCUAACACGUGCAAGUCGAACGAGCGAGAGAGAGCUUGCUUUCUCGAGCGAGUGGCGAACGGGUGAGUAACGCGUGAGGAACCUGCCUCAAAGAGGGGGACAACAGUUGGAAACGACUGCUAAUACCGCAUAAGCCCACGGGUCGGCAUCGACCAGAGGGAAAAGGAGCAAUCCGCUUUGAGAUGGCCUCGCGUCCGAUUAGCUAGUUGGUGAGGUAAUGGCCCACCAAGGCGACGAUCGGUAGCCGGACUGAGAGGUUGAACGGCCACAUUGGGACUGAGACACGGCCCAGACUCCUACGGGAGGCAGCAGUGGGGAAUAUUGCACAAUGGGGGAAACCCUGAUGCAGCGACGCCGCGUGAGCGAAGAAGUAUUUCGGUAUGUAAAGCUCUAUCAGCAGGGAAGAUAAUGACGGUACCUGACUAAGAAGCACCGGCUAAAUACGUGCCAGCCGCCGCGGUAAUUC